RNAcentral lists this ribosomal RNA (369 nucleotides) under uncultured bacterium. RNAcentral's name for it is "bacterial SSU rRNA". It matches the Rfam family "Bacterial small subunit ribosomal RNA", at positions 121 to 504 of the family's 1533-position model. The record is from RNAcentral.
GUAAUCUACCUUUGAGUGGGGAAUAACAGUCGGAAACGACUGCUAAUACCGCAUAAUGCAGCGGCACCGCAAGGUGACAGUUGUUAAAGGAGCAAUCCGCUUAAGGAGGAGCCUGCGGCAGAUUAGCUUGUUGGUAAGGUAAUGGCUUACCAAGGCUACGAUCUGUAACCGACCUGAGAGGGUGGUCGGUCACACUGACACUGAAUAACGGGUCAGACUCCUACGGGAGGCAGCAGUCGGGAAUUUUGGGCAAUGGGCGAAAGCCUGACCCAGCAACGCCGCGUGAAGGAUGAAGUCUUUCGGGAUGUAAACUUCGUAAGAAUGGGGAAGAAUAAAUGACGGUCCCAUUUGUAAGGUCCGGCUAACUAC